ACACGUAGCGGCCAAGAUGGCGCUAGCGGUUGGAGCAGGGGCUCUGCUGCGACCUUUACGGUAGUGAGGUUAGGGACGAUGGGAGAGCAGCUUUGUUCCUGAAGUGCCGUCGAGGAUUAGGAUCGAGUUUCUUCGAUCGUGAGGGCAAUUAUUAGUGGCCUCUAGCCCCCCAGAUGGCAUCUUGAGGAGAGAGAAUCCACGCUACGAGAACUAACAUAGUGGACAUCGCAGUUGUCCGUAGCCGAUUUGCGGGUUACGGAGUUGUUGCAAGUAAAGAAGGGGAAAUCCGAGCGUUCUCGCGUUGGAUUUCCUCCACGUGUGAAGUGGGAAUGGUAGUGAUAUCUCGUGCUAUCUCUGUCAAGGGCAAGAAGGAGAAGGAAUUUAUUUGAGGCCCUACGACGUGGUGCGGUGGCUCACGCCUGUAAUCCCAACACUUUGGGAGGCCGAGGCAGGCGGAUCAUCUGAGAUCGAGAGUUCGAGACCAGCUUGACCAACAUGGAGAAACCCCGUCUCUACUAAAAGUACAAAAUUAGCCAGGCAUGGUGGCACAUGCCCGUAAUCCCAGCUACUCGGGAGGCUGAGGCAGGAGAGUAGCUUGAGCCCAGGAGGCGGAGGUUGUGGUGAGCCGAGAUCGCGCCAUUGCACAGCCUGGGCAACGAGCGAAACUCCAUCUCAAAAAAAUAAAUAAAAAUUUUUUUAAAAAAGAAA
Molecule: long non-coding RNA, 708 nt
Filed under: Homo sapiens (human)
Lineage: Eukaryota; Metazoa; Chordata; Mammalia; Primates; Hominidae
Description: EMSY divergent transcript, transcript variant 1 (EMSY-DT)
Source: RNAcentral